Molecule: signal recognition particle RNA, 220 nt
Filed under: bovine gut metagenome
Description: Bacterial large signal recognition particle RNA
Rfam family: Bacterial large signal recognition particle RNA
About the family: The signal recognition particle (SRP) is a universally conserved ribonucleoprotein involved in the co-translational targeting of proteins to membranes. Archaeal SRP consists of a 7S RNA and homologues of the eukaryotic SRP19 and SRP54 proteins.
Source: RNAcentral
AGCCGGGGAGUUAGCGGUGCCCUGUACUUGCAAUCCGCUAUAGCAAGGGUGAUGUCCCGUUUCGGGUUGGCCAGGUAGGGCAGCCCUUAGCAAGUGACGUUGACGUUUGAGUCUCACGCAAUAGCAGCCCAUGAACCGUGUCAGGUCAGAGAUGGAGCAGCACUAAGUGGUUUCUGUUAUGUGCCGUGAGGAAGCUUGGGCCGAGUUAACUACUAAGGUA